Molecule: long non-coding RNA, 2035 nt
Filed under: Paramuricea clavata
Lineage: Eukaryota; Metazoa; Cnidaria; Anthozoa; Malacalcyonacea; Plexauridae
Source: RNAcentral
UUUUGACAGAUAACCAACAUAUCUGCAACUUUUUUUCAGAUACUGUAGACCUUGUUGCAGUUAUGCUGCAGUACUGCAAACGGCUGAGAGCUCUGUUUGCCAUCUAAUAAAUGGUGGUCCACCGGCAGUUAUCAGAUAAGUGUCAGCAAUUCUCAAAUGGACCUUUCACCUUUUGAAGUUGUGGUAAAUUCCAAGAAUGUUUUGCUAUCUUGUUGUAAAUUUUAUGUAUAAAUAGAAUACCAACACGAAUAUUUACGAGUUUCCUGGAAUAGUACUUGAUUUAGUACAGACGUAAAUUAAUGGUUUAGAAAUUUUGGAAUGGUAUGAAACUUUUUACAAUCUUCGAGUAAGUUUUAAAUCAAAUACGGUAAACUAUCUAAACUCCAAGAGGUUUUACCAGCGAAAAAAAUGCCCGUGAUGGUUAUCCAUUAUGACCUAUCACACACAUCCGGCCUAAAAUGAGAUAUUUAAUUUAAUGAACAUUUAAUUUCAUAUGCAUAAGUAUAUAUGUAAUGCACGAAAGAUAUGUUACUUUUAAAGUAUAUGCUACAUCUAUAUUAUAUAUACAUCGAUCUAUUUAUUGUGUGUUUAAAUCCUGGAAUCAACACACUAAACCUUACGAUUCUAUGCUCUAAUAAAAUCUUUGGGGAAAUAUAUAAUCAACGGGCUUAAGGCUUGGAAGUGCUUAGGUCACCUAAUUUUCAAACAAUGAAUUGACCCCAAGGUAUCCUACAAUGCACUGUGCAUUCCAGACGUCCCCCGUAUUCAAAAUUGCGUGACGUAAGCACUUCCAAGGUCUAUUUAACCUAAAAUUGAUGUACAAUGUUCAUUACGGUCAUUACGAUUUACAAAUUUUGUGAAUACAUGAUCACGUACGCAGUUUUGCUGAAAAUGUACAUUUUGAUUCACUAAAUGUUAGAUAGUGCUCAACAGCAUAAAAUAGAUCAAACAGUAGGUUGGCUUACGACAAAAUGUAGAGUAGCCUUAAUUCUCUCGCCUGAAAACCCAACCCGAAACGACUGCAUGGUUGCUAGCCUGCGUCACAGAAUAUAGACCUUAUAGAAGGCCGACUCAGCCAAAGCGUAACCUCCGCCACGUCACGUCAUGACGGUCAUCAAAAUGCACUGGCCAUGUUUCUAACCAGUGCGCUUACGAGAGGCAUUCACCCCCCUGAACGUCUGCCAUUUUGAAUCUUUUCAACGGUCACGGCAAAAUAUUACCAUCAAAAUAUAGGCAAAAGCAUAAGUCGGCCUUAAUUCUGCGAGUCCCAUAAGGUCUCUAUUCUAUUGGUAUCCAACGCUGCCAACCUAUACCAUAUUUGCACUAUCAUGCAUUAUUUAUUUAUUUAUUUACACUUUGUCUCUCAGGCUUGGAGCCCGCAACAGCUAAGGCUAUUUGCUGCGGGUCCAUUACAUGUAUUACAUCGUACUAAAUAUCGUACGAACUGAAAACAAAUACGCUUAAGUACUAGCAAAGUUAUUAACGACUAUAUACAAACCAGGAGACUACACUUAAUGUGAACUGUCUUCCAUGUUCUGCAUGGUAAUAUUCUCUCAAUAAAGAUUUGAAAGAAGACAGAGACAUUGUGUUUCUUCGUAUAUCUUUAGUCGGCACAUUCCAUACUCUUUUUGACCGAACUAAGUAAGACCUAGCAUUCAGAUAAUAGUGAGGUUAAGAUACCCCGGUUCCGGUUUACGGGUACGACUUGCAACUUAAGAAAUCCAAGAUAUUCCGGGGUACGAAAACUGAUCGGAGAAUGCUAACUUUCGUUGUUGAGCUUCACCAUAGAUUUGGGAAAACCGACGAGCAUAUAUGCAUUGAUUUAUUUAGGUAAGAUGUUGAAGUAUUUCACUACUUAAAUGGCCUACAAAUAGCAAGCACUAAACACCAGUAUCCGCUUCUCUUUUACGUGUAGACCAUGGUUUACCGCGGGGAAACGGGUAAAAAUUUAAACAUGCUGACAUACUGGUAAACAAAAUGGUGAUGUUCGUACCUGUAGAACGGAACUGGGGUAUCUUAAUCUCUCUAUUAUAUA